Molecule: ribosomal RNA, 484 nt
Filed under: uncultured bacterium
Lineage: Bacteria
Description: partial 16S ribosomal RNA
Rfam family: Bacterial small subunit ribosomal RNA
Source: RNAcentral
AUUGAACGCUGGCGGCAUGCUUUACACAUGCAAGUCGAACGGUAACAGGGUGCUUGCACCGCUGACGAGUGGCGAACGGGUGAGUAAUGCAUCGGAAUGUACCGUGUAAUGGGGGAUAGCUCGGCGAAAGCCGGAUUAAUACCGCAUACGCUCUGAGGGGGAAAGUGGGGGACCGAAAGGCCUCACGUUAUACGAGCAGCCGAUGUCUGAUUAGCUAGUUGGUGAGGUAAAGGCUCACCAAGGCGUCGAUCAGUAGCGGGUCUGAGAGGAUGAUCCGCCACACUGGGACUGAGACACGGCCCAGACUCCUACGGGAGGCAGCAGUGGGGAAUUUUGGACAAUGGGCGCAAGCCUGCUCCAGCCAUGCCGCGUGUCUGAAGAAGGCCUUCGGGUUGUAAAGGACUUUUGUCCGGGAGCAAAUCCUAGUGGUUAAUACCUACUGGGGCUGAGAGUACCGGAAGAAUAAGCACCGGCUAACUACGUG